AUAAGCCUGCGGUGUGCGGAAAUCUUUUAAUUCAACCGACAUAUUGUAAAAGGGAAUUCGUGUUUAAGCGCCUAUGACAUGCCCGCAUGACGGGAAGCCAGAAUCACUUAAUAGAGCUCCCACCUGCUUAGAUGCGGGUAUGAAUUAAUGGUUUGCGGCUCUCGCGGGUUUUUG
Molecule: non-coding RNA, 174 nt
Filed under: Clostridiales bacterium
Lineage: Bacteria; Bacillati; Bacillota; Clostridia; Eubacteriales
Description: 6S RNA
Rfam family: 6S / SsrS RNA
About the family: E. coli 6S RNA was the first non coding RNA to be sequenced, but its function was unknown until recently. It consists of 184 nucleotides that fold into an extended hairpin structure with a large single-stranded internal bulge.
Source: RNAcentral